RNAcentral lists this long non-coding RNA (134 nucleotides) under Ursus americanus (American black bear). The record is from RNAcentral. Lineage: Eukaryota; Metazoa; Chordata; Mammalia; Carnivora; Ursidae.
CUUUCUCUCCCCUUUCCUGGAGAGGAACUGUUCAGGUGGGGGAGAAUAUGAUAUAAAUUUCUUUAAAAACAGCAGAACCACCCCCCUUUGGCCCCGCGCAGCCGUCGCCUCGGCCCUUUAGGGCCGCUUUACGC